This 264-nucleotide ribosomal RNA is filed under the name uncultured bacterium. RNAcentral's name for it is "partial 16S ribosomal RNA". It matches the Rfam family "Bacterial small subunit ribosomal RNA", at positions 1238 to 1500 of the family's 1533-position model. The record is from RNAcentral.
UACAACGAGUCGCAAACUCGCGAGAGUAAGCUAAUCUCUUAAAGCCGUUCUCAGUUCGGACUGUAGGCUGCAACUCGCCUACACGAAGUCGGAAUCGCUAGUAAUCGCGGAUCAGCAUGCCGCGGUGAAUACGUUCCCGGGCCUUGUACACACCGCCCGUCACACCAUGGGAGUUUGUAACGCCCAAAGUCGGUGGCCUAACCUUUAUAGAGGGAGCCGCCUAAGGCGGGACAGAUGACUGGGGUGAAGUCGUAACAAGGUAGC